Molecule: ribosomal RNA, 408 nt
Filed under: Klebsiella pneumoniae
Lineage: Bacteria; Pseudomonadati; Pseudomonadota; Gammaproteobacteria; Enterobacterales; Enterobacteriaceae
Description: bacterial SSU rRNA
Rfam family: Bacterial small subunit ribosomal RNA
Source: RNAcentral
AAGAGUUUGAUCAUGGCUCAGAUUGAACGCUGGCGGCAGGCCUAACACAUGCAAGUCGAGCGGUAGCACAGAGAGCUUGCUCUCGGGUGACGAGCGGCGGACGGGUGAGUAAUGUCUGGGAAACUGCCUGAUGGAGGGGGAUAACUACUGGAAACGGUAGCUAAUACCGCAUAACGUCGCAAGACCAAAGUGGGGGACCUUCGGGCCUCAUGCCAUCAGAUGUGCCAGAUGGGAUUAGCUAGUAGGUGGGGUAACGGCUCACCUAGGCGACGAUCCCUAGCUGGUCUGAGAGGAUGACCAGCCACACUGGAACUGAGACACGGUCCAGACUCCUACGGGAGGCAGCAGUGGGGAAUAUUGCACAAUGGGCGCAAGCCUGAUGCAGCCAUGCCGCGUGUGUGAAGAAGG